CCAAUGUAAAAAUAAUUUAAGUGCAUUCAUUUUAUGAUGGUAAAUGUUAUUUAUUGAUAUAUUUUUUAGACAUGGAUUCUCACUGUGACACCCAGGCUGGAGUGCAGUGGUAUGAUCAUAGGUGACUACAGUCUCGAAUUCCUGGGCUCAAGCAAGCCUUUCACCUCAGCCUCCCCAGAAGCUGGGAUUACAGAUGGUGUCAGAAGCGUCGUUCAAAGUAGAGAGCUUUAA
RNAcentral lists this long non-coding RNA (231 nucleotides) under Papio anubis (olive baboon). RNAcentral's name for it is "lncRNA (ENSPANG00000043310.1)". Lineage: Eukaryota; Metazoa; Chordata; Mammalia; Primates; Cercopithecidae. The record is from RNAcentral.